AGCAGUAUUGAACUGAAGAGUUUGAUCAUGGCUCAGAUUGAACGCUGGCGGCAGGCCUAACACAUGCAAGUCGAGCGGAUGAAGGGAGCUUGCUCCUGGAUUCAGCGGCGGACGGGUGAGUAAUGCCUA
Molecule: ribosomal RNA, 129 nt
Filed under: Pseudomonas aeruginosa
Lineage: Bacteria; Pseudomonadati; Pseudomonadota; Gammaproteobacteria; Pseudomonadales; Pseudomonadaceae
Description: partial 16S ribosomal RNA
Rfam family: Bacterial small subunit ribosomal RNA
Source: RNAcentral